ACACAAGAAGAAGACAACUGGGGGGCAAAGGCGUGGGCAUGGGGCACCACCGUCAGUCGGCAGUCACAUUAAGCACCACACAUUGUGAAAUGAAAGUUCUCUGUGUGGUGUCAACGUCAGCGUGUUCCACUGCUCAAGAAUACUGGGGGAAACUGAGAAAGAACUCGGUUUGUGUUUCAAUUUGAUUGAUGUUCUCUUGACCGGCAGCAGAGGAGAGCACAGUUCAGACGAAACAUUUGUUGUUGUUGGCGUUUGGGUGAAAACUUACGAUUGCCACCACUCGCCGACGUGUGGUAACGUUUUGUGGCCGUUGCCAAAGAGUGACUAACACACAACAGCGGAGCAGCAAAACACCAGAAACACCAGCGCCACCGACACAGAAAAGGGGGUGGAGGCAGGAAAGGCAGCAGCAGGCAAAGAGGAAGUGGUUUUUCCUGCCGUACCUGAAAGAUGAAAAUCCCAUAUAAAAUGCAAGUGUGGAACUUGUUGUACAUCCUCGAAAUAUCCACAGAGAGAGAGAGAGAGAGAAAAAAAGAGGGACAGUGCGUUGUUGAUGUUGAUGAAUUCUAAGAAGAUUAAACAAUGAUCGAAAAAACAGCUAAGUGUUUGAUUAAUGAGAACCAUCUUACAAAAACACACACACACACCAACACAGAACAC
This is a long non-coding RNA of Drosophila willistoni, 660 nucleotides long. RefSeq lists it as uncharacterized. The transcript is spliced from 3 exons. The record is from RefSeq and is a predicted model, not a curated record. Lineage: Eukaryota; Metazoa; Arthropoda; Insecta; Diptera; Drosophilidae.